This 252-nucleotide ribosomal RNA is filed under the name uncultured bacterium. RNAcentral describes it as "partial 16S ribosomal RNA". It matches the Rfam family "Bacterial small subunit ribosomal RNA", at positions 524 to 776 of the family's 1533-position model. The record is from RNAcentral.
UACGGAGGAUGCGAGCGUUAUCCGGAUUCAUUGGGUUUAAAGGGUGCGUAGGCGGACGCUUAAGUCAGCGGUAAAAUUGCGGGGCUCAACCUCGUCGAGCCGUUGAAACUGGGUGCCUUGAGUGGGCGAGAAGUACGCGGAAUGCGUGGUGUAGCGGUGAAAUGCAUAGAUAUCACGCAGAACCCCGAUUGCGAAGGCAGCGUACCGGCGCCCGACUGACGCUGAAGCACGAAAGCGUGGGUAUCGAACAGG